AAUCAACGCUGGCGGCGUGCCUCAGACAUGCAAGUCGAACGAGAAAGUUCCCUUCGGGGGAUGAGUAAAGUGGCGCACGGGUGAGUAACACGUAGGUAAUCUACCUUCGGGUGGGGAAUAACCCAGGGAAACUUGGGCUAACACCGCAUAAUGCAGCGGCACCACAUGGUGACAGUUGUUAAAGCGGGGGAUUUUAGGACCUCGCGCCUGAAGAGGAGCCUGCGGCGGAUUAGCUAGUUGGAAGGUAACGGCUUACCAAGGCGACGAUCCGUAACCGGCCUGAGAGGGCGGUCGGUCACACUGACACUGACAUACGGGUCAGACUCCUACGGGAGGCAGCAGUCGGGAAUUUUGGGCAAUGGGCGAAAGCCUGACCCAGCAACGCCGCGUGAAGGAU
Molecule: ribosomal RNA, 397 nt
Filed under: uncultured bacterium
Lineage: Bacteria
Description: bacterial SSU rRNA
Rfam family: Bacterial small subunit ribosomal RNA
Source: RNAcentral